This is a long non-coding RNA of Hippocampus zosterae (dwarf seahorse), 4673 nucleotides long. RefSeq lists it as uncharacterized. The record is from RefSeq and is a predicted model, not a curated record. NCBI's taxonomy places the organism in Eukaryota, Metazoa, Chordata, Actinopteri, Syngnathiformes, Syngnathidae. The transcript is spliced from 4 exons.
UGGCGCGCGCCUCCCUGCUCACAUGACGCCUUUCUAUAUGUUGGCUCCUCUCUCAGCGCUCAAUAGCGACCAGCCCAGGCAUCAAUGCAGACCUUACACCGGACAAAUCGGGCGUCCAGCAUCUACAGUAUGUGCAAUGACAAUGUGUGCUUAAAAAAAGAGCAAAAAAAUAUAUUUAAAAAAAAUAUAUCAUCUGAAGAUGUGCACAUGCUGACUCUCACUGCCGAGGAAGGACACACUUUUUUUUCUGCAAGCAGACGACCGGAGCCGCACGGCGGCGAGACAUAAACGCCCAUAAGUUGCUGAAAUGAAUCUCCAGGUCAUGUUUGGGGCUGCCAUAACAGGAAGAAAACAAGAACAAUUGCCUCGAACACAGAGGUGGAGGGAGGGACACCCCACAGCAGAACACGACAAGAAAUGGAAAAAAAGGUCUAGACAUGAUGGAGGUGCACACACACAUACGACGGCACCUCGGGUCUGUCUGCAGUCUAACACCAGCACACCACCCCCACCAGCCCAGCGUUUGUUGCCGCAUGCCACGCACACCCUUGCCUUUUACGGGCACCAGAAAGAGACAACAUUCCAGCUGUGACGAGACAGAGGAAGUCAAGUCUAACAUACACACACACACACACACACACACACACAGCCAGAGGCGCGUGAGCAGGUGAGCAUUAAGUCAGGCAACUAAACAGAUCGUCGCGGUUUGAUAUCAGCAGACAGACAGAGGCGGCCGGUCUAUACCUGCGGGCAGUCAGUAGCACCCUCACCAGGAAUGUCCUCCUACUUGUGAGACACAAUUCAAUGUAAACUGAGGAGGGCUUUCCUCCACAACAACACCACUGGCUGAAACUGGUCUCCAAAUAGAGAGUAAUCAUCACAAAUUUGAUUUGUGUUUCGAAAAGCAAAACUACAACAAUGUUCACGAAAAAUCAGAAACCAAAUGAUCACAAUCCAAAUUUCAGCAACAUCUUCUGGUACCUCCGCCUGAAUUUUGUGAUUUAGAUUCUUACAUAAUUUCUUGAAGACUUAAUGCAGAUGUGGCACAGACUGUGGGGAUGGGAAGCCCUUUGAGACGUUGCUGUAAUUUAGGGCUGAAGAAAUAAGGUCGACUUGACACAGAAGUAAAGAAAAGAAAAAAAAACAUUUGUUGAUCUGUGCUGAAAUCAAAUGUUAUUUUUGUGUGAGCAAUUGACCACACAAAGAUUUGAAAAAAAAAACUAACAAAAAAAACUGAAAACAGCAAAUCUGUCGUUUUAGUUAUUGGGAACCAAUCAGAAACAGCCGUUUAAAGUAACACUGUAAUUUUAGCUUAAAAUAAAGCUCCAAACCACUGGUUGUUCACUGGCUGCCAUGGCAACACCCUGGCCUGCUAUUGGUGGUCAUUACCAAGAUAAAACAAAAGAAUAAGACCCACAAUUCUCAUAUAAAACUGAUCUACUGUACCCUUCCCUCCUGGACUUGGCUUUAAAGCGCAACCCGAGCUAAGAAAGGAAAGGCUAUCUUUUGAAGUUAGAUUUGAGGAGACAUUCACAUGCGACUCAGAUAUUGACCACAGGCACUUCCUUUGUUACUUGGGAGUAAUUUGAUCCACGCUGUAUGAAUUUGUCCUUCUGGAUUGACAAAGAUGUUCCAACACGUAACCAGCAGCAAUUGGGGAAACUUUGACGAUAUCAGUUAGUAAGACUGUGAGCUUGCUGUUGUGGGAACUCCACUGGGAACCGUCGGUGUUGUGUUUUGGGUGAAUCUUUGACGAAUUUCGACCUGCAGCGACGAUAGAAUUUCGCUGGUCUCCAUGCAGAACCAAGUGCAGGGAACCACUUUAGGGGGGACCAAAUUAGGAGUGCAAACAAUUCCCUUCUGAGCAGAUUUGCAUACUAUCCUCUUCAUAUUAAUUUCACUGGCAAGCGCCUCCUGAUCGUUUAUAAUUUCCUGACGAAACCCACCUCUGCCCGUCUACAGAUGACUCAGGAGCUAAAUGUCAGAGCUGUCCAUGCCAUUAAGGCCAUCGCCUUUGAAGGCCGGACACCCUGAAACCCCACCCUCACUUCCCCCUGUCUCUUCGUAUUCUUCUCACUCCCACUCUGACUUUGCCUCCAUCCGCCAUCAUCCAUCUCCCACACAUCCAGGCUGGUUUGAGGGCUGAUGUGUGCGCAGACCUUGUCAUUCACAUUAGAGCAACAUUGUCCGCUCAGGGCCCUUCCCUCUCUGCUUCUUCCCAUCUCUCUCUCUCUCUCUCUUCCUGGCCCAGAUCUUUCUUGCUGUCACCCCCCCCUCCUGCAGCCAGAGAAGACCUUAUCAAGCAACAUCCACUUCUGCCAAUUCCAACACUGUCAUUCAAAUCCUGUUUUGUGAGGGAGCAAAGGAAUCGCUUGCAGUAAAAAGCAAACACCAUUUUAUAAUUGGGAUUUUUAGUGUGCGUGUAUGUGUGCGUGCGUGCGUGCGUGUGCUGUGUGUGUGUGUGUGUGUGUGUGUGUGUGUGUGUGUGUGUGGGUGUGUGGGUGUGUUUGUGUGUGGGUGUGUGUGUGUGCACACGCACAUAGAGGCAGAAUAUGAAAAUGCUCGGAUAAUAAUAACAAUAAUAAUAAUAUUUCAUUUCUGAAGUACUUAAUGCUCUUUGGUUGUGUCGGCAUGGCAUUUUGUUUCACAUUUCCUAAUCAACUGAGCGAUCGUCUGUUCCUUAAAAGCUUCCCACUUGCAUAUGUUUUCUGCCGGUGCCAUCUUGACACUUGGCCUCUGAUGUACAGUUUCUAAUAAGCCGAAUAUCGACGCUGCCUCAAAUAGCAACAACGCCGCACUGUUCAGAAAAAACAUUCUAUGCAAGUGUGCGGCAGUUCUGGUCUCCGAAAAGGAAGGUUUACGCCACAGCGAAACUGAUUUUUUAAUUUCGGUGAGUCAACAUUUUCAUCUUGCUCACUGCAAGAGGCUCUUGCGUGACAGUGGCCCUGUAAGAGAGCACGCCACACCUAAAAACUGCCAUGACUCAGCUGUUUCAAGAUGACAUCCUGCUCUCUCGACUGCUAUUUUCAAGGAAAUUAGGCCCUCUUGUAACACUGACACUAUCCUUAGUGUCAUAAUGAGAACGUGUUAAAGGAGUUGCAUACAUAUAACACUAGGUGACAGUUCAUAACAGGCUAGUGUUAACAUUGCUGGCAUCGAACAAUGAGUGAGGCAAAGCCAGUUCUUUUUGCAAGGGCCUUGUUAGUGGAGACCAGGGAGUGCACAGUGGGCUCUAAUAAUACCUUUCUUUUUAGAUUCAUUUCAACAUAACGGUUCGUCUAUUUUAAAACUUUUCCACUGUAAUUCUCAGGCUUGGUACUACUUGGUGAACAUGUCAAGUGGGGAUAGGCAUACAAAUAUAUGUUUGUGUCCAGGUAGCUUACUAAUGGGAUUUGUGUUUAAAAUUAGUAUUGGAUAGGCAUUUUUACAAUCUCAAGAAGAUGCCAUCAAAUUAUGGAAAGCCCACAAGAGCAUUUGGUGAGAUUGAAACAUUGAAGCCAUGUCCAUCAGGUUUGUGCUUGCCCCAGUGAACAUUCAACGCUGUCGGUGAGUUUGGCUAAAUUGAAGAACCAUCGACCGUUGAUUGUACCCUGUUGUAGGCCAUUACUCUGAAUUGAAGCAAAACGGGCAGAUCCUGCACACGGGCAUUAACAACGAACCAUUGAGCCUUUUCCACAAGUAAAAUGACAAAUUUGAUGUAUUUAUUUAUUUUUACCCCCACGCCUCCAACUCACUCCCCCCAAAAAACCUACAAAGGUCACAAUCAACAUUCAUUGCUGUCGGUGGGUUUAACUGUAUGGAAGAGCUCACUGACCGAUGAAUGCAACUGUGUCCCAGAUUUCAGCUGACCCUCACAUCGAAUAAUGUCACGAUAUGCUGAUGAUGCUCUUGUUUAUAUGUAGCCUGCCCUGCUCCAAGCCUUCCACCAAUAACAGGCCAACACGGCUUGUACGAACUGACAGGAAGUUCAGAUUGCAUCUCGAUCACACCGGGUGUGCUGGAGGGGUUCAAGUCGAGCAGCAAAGGCAAAGCAGGAAGGGGUGGUUGGGAUGCCGGUUGAAGAUGCAGAGAUAUUUGGGGGGAGAUGACCUUUAAAAUAAAAUUGCAUUUACAUUUGAUAUAUGACUGAAAAUAUUAAGUGAAGCAAGCAAGCAAAUAAGUAUACCCUAGAUGCCCUUAUGCAUUCGACAAGAUUCUUUUUAAAGUGUUUUCUAAUGAGCUAAUUUUUUAAUGAAGGUGAACCUGAACAGAAUCAAGAUUUUCUUUUCCUAUUCCUGUUUAUUAAAACACCACUGUUUGUUAUAAUCCUUGCAUUCAAUUAAAUAAUUUCCAUUGGAAUGUGUCAGACAAUUUUUUUUUCCUCAAGUUUUCCAUCCAUCCAUCUAUUUUGUCAACCACUUGCCCUCAAAGCUGGGUGAAUUGAAGCAUCCCGGGUGACUUUGGACAAAAGGUGGGGUACACAACUGGUCACGACACACACAACCACUUAGGCCACUCAUAUUUUCACUUACGGAAAAUUAAAAAUUUGCAGAUAAACCAACAUGCAUGGUUUUGAGAUGCAGGCCAAAGGAGUGUCUCGGCAGAGAUUUAAGCCUGGCACCUCUAGACUGUGGGACAGGUGUGCCAAUCACUACUCAUUGCAAAACAAAUAAAAAAAAUUGAUAAUAAAAAAA